RNAcentral lists this unclassified non-coding RNA (377 nucleotides) under uncultured bacterium. RNAcentral's name for it is "contains 16S-23S intergenic spacer region". The record is from RNAcentral.
UCACGGCUUAUCACCGGCAGUCCCCUUAGAGUGCCCAACUAAAUGAUGGCAACUAAGGGCGAGGGUUGCGCUCGUUGCGGGACUUAACCCAACAUCUCACGACACGAGCUGACGACAGCCAUGCACCACCUGUGAUGCGGCUCCGAAGAGGGACCGUGUUUCCACGGUUUUCCACAACAUGUCAAGCCCAGGUAAGGUUCUUCGCGUUGCUUCGAAUUGAACCACACGCUCCGCUGCUUGUGCGGGCCCCCGCCUAUUCCUUUGAGUUUUAACCUUGCGGCCGUAGUCCCCAGGCGGGAUGCUUAAUGCGUUAGCUACGGCACGGAAGGAGUCGACACCUCCCACACCUAGCACCCAUCGUUUACGGCGUGGACUAC